RNAcentral lists this transfer RNA (76 nucleotides) under Cohnella pontilimi. RNAcentral's name for it is "Cohnella sp. CAU 1483 tRNA-Asn". It matches the Rfam family "tRNA". From Rfam's summary of the family: Transfer RNA (tRNA) molecules are approximately 80 nucleotides in length. Their secondary structure includes four short double-helical elements and three loops (D, anti-codon, and T loops). Further hydrogen bonds mediate the characteristic L-shaped molecular structure. tRNAs have two regions of fundamental functional importance: the anti-codon, which is responsible for specific mRNA codon recognition, and the 3' end, to which the tRNAs corresponding amino acid is attached (by aminoacyl-tRNA synthetases). tRNAs cope with the degeneracy of the genetic code in two manners: having more than one tRNA (with a specific anti-codon) for a particular amino acid; and 'wobble' base-pairing, i.e. permitting non-standard base-pairing at the 3rd anti-codon position. Lineage: Bacteria; Bacillati; Bacillota; Bacilli; Caryophanales; Paenibacillaceae. The record is from RNAcentral. RNAcentral also lists the same sequence under 1 other name.
UCCCUGAUAGCUCAGUUGGUAGAGCACACGACUGUUAAUCGUGUUGUCACUGGUUCGAGUCCAGUUCGGGGAGCCA